This 612-nucleotide ribosomal RNA is filed under the name Anillodes sp. USA: California. RNAcentral describes it as "SSU rRNA". It matches the Rfam family "Eukaryotic small subunit ribosomal RNA", at positions 22 to 602 of the family's 1831-position model. Lineage: Eukaryota; Metazoa; Arthropoda; Insecta; Coleoptera; Carabidae. The record is from RNAcentral.
AGUCAUAUGCUUGUCUCAAAGAUUAAGCCAUGCAUGUCUCAGUACAAACCAAAUUAAGGUGAAACCGCGAAAGGCUCAUUAAAUCAGUUAUGGUUCCUUAGAUCGUACCCACAUUUACUUGGAUAACUGUGGUAAUUCUAGAGCUAAUACAUGCAAACAGAGCUCCAACCGGAGACGGAAGGAGUGCUUUUAUUAGAUCAAAACCAAUCGGCGGCAGUGGCGUUUCGGCGUCAUUGUUCGUCGCACUAUUUGGUGACUCUGAAUAACUUUUGGCUGAUCGCACGGUCUUGCACCGGCGACGCAUCUUUCAAAUGUCUGCCUUAUCAACUGUCGAUGGUAGGUUCUGCGCCUACCAUGGUUGUAACGGGUAACGGGGAAUCAGGGUUCGAUUCCGGAGAGGGAGCCUGAGAAACGGCUACCACAUCCAAGGAAGGCAGCAGGCGCGCAAAUUACCCACUCCCGGCACGGGGAGGUAGUGACGAAAAAUAACGAUACGGGACUCAUCCGAGGCCCCGUAAUCGGAAUGAGUACACUUUAAAUCCUUUAACAAGGACCAAUUGGAGGGAAAGUCUGGUGCCAGCAGCCGCGGUAAUUCCAGCUCCAAUAGCGUAU